GGCGAUUGGAAAGUCUCCCACCCUGCAUAUGCAAAUUUCAUUGUCAGUCUCAAGUCAUCAAAACACCCCUCUAGCCUAUCUUAUUCCUAAGCAAAAAGAUCCAGCAACCUCCAAACAUAGAAUAUUUAUUGCAUCUUAGUAGAUAUGUGGUUAACAAGCCACAGAUAAGCUGUAUCUAACCCACAUGUUUUCACAAAUUUGCAACACAAACUUAGCUCUUCUAUAUAUCUUAUAAUUUAAUAUACAAACUAGUCAACUUGCAUUCUAAAACCAAAUACACUCCGCAUCAUGUUUGAUUCCAACACAAACCCUCAUCAGUCAUAAUUACAUUGCAUUUCUUAACAAUCACUCUGGAAAUCAUAAUUUGAAAGACUAGCACCUCUAGCACCCAAAGGCGGGCACUUUUACUCAGGGGUGUGCCUUUUGGCUAGGGCACACCCAUCAGAUGGCGCAAGGUAUGCACCUAGGCAUGCCUUUGAUACAUUUAUGCAUUUUUUUAGAUAUUAUGAAGAUCAAAUCUGACACAGCAUGUAGCGCAGAAAAUAAUCGACACACGAUUAAACACUUAAAAACAAACAAGAUCUAAUUCAAGAUCUUAAGAUAAAUACAAGACUAAUCUAAAGUCUAGGAUAAAAUAAAGUAAACUAGUUUUAUAAUUAAGAAAACUCUAUUGAAUGAAUCUGAAAAACUUUUACAUAAUGAACAUACAAUAGGUAUUUAUAGAAUUCUAAAUUCUAAUUUAGGUAGGAAUGAAUUAGAGAGUUCUAAUCUAAAUAGAAAAUAUAUUU
RNAcentral lists this unclassified non-coding RNA (788 nucleotides) under Hevea brasiliensis (rubber tree). The record is from RNAcentral. Lineage: Eukaryota; Viridiplantae; Streptophyta; Magnoliopsida; Malpighiales; Euphorbiaceae.